GGAGAGAUGGCCGAGCGGUCGAAGGCGCACGCUUGGAAAGCGUGUAUACGUCACAAGCGUAUCGAGGGUUCGAAUCCCUCUCUCUCCGCCA
RNAcentral lists this transfer RNA (91 nucleotides) under Betaproteobacteria bacterium. RNAcentral describes it as "tRNA-Ser". It matches the Rfam family "tRNA". Rfam says of the family: Transfer RNA (tRNA) molecules are approximately 80 nucleotides in length. Their secondary structure includes four short double-helical elements and three loops (D, anti-codon, and T loops). Lineage: Bacteria; Pseudomonadati; Pseudomonadota; Betaproteobacteria. The record is from RNAcentral.